ACGGGGCUAAACCAUGCACCGAAGCUGCGGCAGCGACGCUUAUGCGUUGUUGGGUAGGGGAGCGUUCUGUAAGCCUGUGAAGGUGUGCUGUGAGGCAUGCUGGAGGUAUCAGAAGUGCGAAUGCUGACAUAAGUAACGAUAAAGCGGGUGAAAAGCCCGCUCGCCGGAAGACCAAGGGUUCCUGUCCAACGUUAAUCGGGGCAGGGUGAGUCGACCCCUAAGGCGAGGCCGAAAGGCGUAGUCGAUGGGAAACAGGUUAAUAUUCCUGUACUUGGUGUUACUGCGAAGGGGGGACGGAGAAGGCUAUGUUGGCCGGGCGACGGUUGUCCCGGUUUAAGCGUGUAGGCUGGUUUUCCAGGCAAAUCCGGAAAAUCAAGGCUGAGGCGUGAUGACGAGGCACUACGGUGCUGAAGCAACAAAUGCCCUGCUUCCAGGAAAAGCCUCUAAGCAUCAGGUAACAUCAAAUCGUACCCCAAACCGACACAGGUGGUCAGGUAGAGAAUACCAAGGCGCUUGAGAGAACUCGGGUGAAGGAACUAGGCAAAAUGGUGCCGUAACUUCGGGAGAAGGCACGCUGAUAUGUAGGUGAAGUCCCUCGCGGAUGGAGCUGAAAUCAGUCGAAGAUACCAGCUGGCUGCAACUGUUUAUUAAAAACACAGCACUGUGCAAACACGAAAGUGGACGUAUACGGUGUGACGCCUGCCCGGUGCCGGAAGGUUAAUUGAUGGGGU
Molecule: ribosomal RNA, 731 nt
Filed under: Escherichia coli
Lineage: Bacteria; Pseudomonadati; Pseudomonadota; Gammaproteobacteria; Enterobacterales; Enterobacteriaceae
Description: partial 23S ribosomal RNA
Rfam family: Bacterial large subunit ribosomal RNA
Source: RNAcentral